GAAGUUUUCUCUCCCAUAAGACUUACAGCCAUUGAGAAGUCUGCAUUAUGACAGACAUGAUGGAGACCACUAUGUCUUUCACAUUCUAUGUGCUAUAAGUGGAGGAAGGAAAGAAAGAGGCUCCAAGAUCAUAUUGUGCAUUUUUUGCUGGGACAGUGCCCCUGUCUUCAAGAAUCAGAGUUUUCAUCUGCAACAAUUACAGGACAAUUAGUUUUUGGGGUUUCAUUA
This 228-nucleotide unclassified non-coding RNA is filed under the name Hevea brasiliensis (rubber tree). The record is from RNAcentral. Lineage: Eukaryota; Viridiplantae; Streptophyta; Magnoliopsida; Malpighiales; Euphorbiaceae.